This 292-nucleotide ribosomal RNA is filed under the name uncultured Pseudarcicella sp. RNAcentral describes it as "partial 16S ribosomal RNA". It matches the Rfam family "Bacterial small subunit ribosomal RNA", at positions 505 to 796 of the family's 1533-position model. Lineage: Bacteria; Pseudomonadati; Bacteroidota; Cytophagia; Cytophagales; Flectobacillaceae. The record is from RNAcentral.
GUGUCAGCCGCCGCGGUAAUACGGAGGGCGCAAGCGUUGUCCGGAUUUAUUGGGUUUAAAGGGUGCGUAGGUGGUUUAUUAAGUCAGUGGUGAAAGACGGUCGCUCAACGAUUGCAGUGCCAUUGAAACUGGUAGACUUGAGUAAAGUAGAGGUGGGCGGAAUUGAUAGUGUAGCGGUGAAAUGCAUAGAUAUUAUCAAGAACUCCAAUUGCGUAGGCAGCUCACUUGGCUUUUACUGACACUCAUGCACGAAAGUGUGGGUAUCAAACAGGAUUAGAAACCCUCGUAGUCC